Molecule: ribosomal RNA, 443 nt
Filed under: uncultured bacterium
Lineage: Bacteria
Description: partial 16S ribosomal RNA
Rfam family: Bacterial small subunit ribosomal RNA
Source: RNAcentral
CUACGGGGCGCUGCAGUGGGGAAUAUUGCACAAUGGGCGCAAGCCUGAUGCAGCAACGCCGCGUGAGGGAUGAAGGCCUUCGGGUUGUAAACCUCUUUUAGCAGGAAGAAGCGAAAGUGACGGUACCUGCAGAAAAAGCACCGGCUAACUACGUGCCAGCAGCCGCGGUAAUACGUAGGGUGCAAGCGUUGUCCGGAAUUAUUGGGCGUAAAGAGCUCGUAGGCGGUUUGUCACGUCUGCUGUGAAAAUCCAAGGCUCAACCUUGGACUUGCAGUGGGUACGGGCAGGCUAGAGUGCGGUAGGGGAGAUGGGAAUUCCUGGUGUAGCGGUGGAAUGCGCAGAUAUCAGGAGGAACACCAAUGGCGAAGGCACAUCUCUGGGCCGUAACUGACGCUGAGGAGCGAAAGCGUGGGGAGCGAACAGGAUUAGAUACCCCUGUAGUC